This 232-nucleotide ribosomal RNA is filed under the name uncultured bacterium. RNAcentral describes it as "partial 16S ribosomal RNA". It matches the Rfam family "Bacterial small subunit ribosomal RNA", at positions 99 to 334 of the family's 1533-position model. The record is from RNAcentral.
CGCACGGGUGAGUAACGCGUGGGUAUCUGCCUAUUAGUGGGGGACAACUUGGAGAAAUCCAAGCUAAUACCGCAUAAUCUCUACGGAGGAAAGCGGGGGAUCUUCGGACCUCGCGCUGAUAGAUGGGCCCGCGUCUGAUUAGCUAGUUGGUAAGGUAAUGGCUUACCAAGGCGAUGAUCAGUAACUGGUUUGAGAGGAUGAUCAGUCACACUGGAACUGAGACACGGUCCAG